CCGAAUGGGGAAACCCAGUGUGAUUCGUCACACUAUCAUUAACUGAAUCCAUAGGUUAAUGAGGCGAACCGGGGGAACUGAAACAUCUAAGUACCCCGAGGAAAAGAAAUCAACCGAGAUUCCCCCAGUAGCGGCGAGCGAACGGGGAGGAGCCCAGAGCCUGAAUCAGCAUGUGUGUUAGUGGAAGCGUCUGGAAAGGCGCGCGAUACAGGGUGACAGCCCCGUACACAAAAGCGCAUGUGCUGUGAGCUCGAUGAGUAGGGCGGGACACGUGGUAUCCUGUCUGAAUAUGGGGGGACCAUCCUCCAAGGCUAAAUACUCCUGACUGACCGAUAGUGAACCAGUACCGUGAGGGAAAGGCGAAAAGAACCCCGGCGAGGGGAGUGAAAAAGAACCUGAAACCGUGUACGUACAAGCAGUGGGAGCNNNNNNNNNNNNNNNNNNNNNNNNNNNNNNNNNNNNNNNNNNNNNNNNNNNNNNNNNNNNNNNNNNNGGGCGUUAAGUUGCAGGGUAUAGACCCGAAACCCGGUGAUCUAGCCAUGGGCAGGUUGAAGGUUGGGUAACACUAACUGGAGGACCGAACCGACUAAUGUUGAAAAAUUAGCGGAUGACCUGUGGCUGGGGGUGAAAGGCCAAUCAAACCGGGAGAUAGCUGGUUCUCCCCGAAAGCUAUUUAGGUAGCGCCUCGUGAAUUCAUCUCCGGGGGUAGAGCACUGUUUCGGCUAGGGGGCCAUCCCGGCUUACCAACCCGAUGCAAACUGCGAAUACCGGAGAAUGUUAUCACGGGAGACACACGGCGGGUGCUAACGUCCGUCGUGAAGAGGGAAACAACCCAGACCGCCAGCUAAGGUCCCAAAGUCAUGGUUAAGUGGGAAACGAUGUGGGAAGGCCCAGACAGCCAGGAUGUUGGCUUAGAAGCAGCCAUCAUUUAAAGAAAGCGUAAUAGCUCACUGGUCGAGUCGGCCUGCGCGGAAGAUGUAACGGGGCUAAACCAUGCACCGAAGCUGCGGCAGCGAACGUAUCACCCAAGACAACUUUACGGAGUUGACGAUUGACGGAGCGAAGCGACGUCAAAGCGUUCAUUAAAGUCGAGUUGGCUUAGGGAUACGUUCGUUGGGUAGGGGAGCGUUCUGUAAGCCUGUGAAGGUGUGUCGUGAGGCAUGCUGGAGGUAUCAGAAGUGCGAAUGCUGACAUAAGUAACGAUAAAGCGGGUGAAAAGCCCGCUCGCCGGAAGACCAAGGGUUCCUGUCCAACGUUAAUCGGGGCAGGGUGAGUCGACCCCUAAGGCGAGGCCGAAAGGCGUAGUCGAUGGGAAACGGGUUAAUAUUCCCGUACUUGGUGUUACUGCGAAGGGGGGACGGAGAAGGCUAUGUUGGCCGGGCGACGGUUGUCCCGGUUUAAGCGUGUAGGUGUGUGUUCCAGGUAAAUCCGGUUCACUUUAACACUGAGGCGUGACGACGAGGCACUACGGUGCUGAAGCAACAAAUGCCCUGCUUCCAGGAAAAGCCUCUAAGCAUCAGGUAACACGAAAUCGUACCCCAAACCGACACAGGUGGUCAGGUAGAGAAUACCAAGGCGCUUGAGAGAACUCGGGUGAAGGAACUAGGCAAAAUGGUGCCGUAACUUCGGGAGAAGGCACGCUGACACGUAGGUGAAGUGAUUUACUCAUGGAGCUGAAGUCAGUCGAAGAUACCAGCUGGCUGCAACUGUUUAUUAAAAACACAGCACUGUGCAAACACGAAAGUGGACGUAUACGGUGUGACGCCUGCCCGGUGCCGGAAGGUUAAUUGAUGGGGUCAGCGCAAGCGAAGCUCCUGAUCGAAGCCCCGGUAAACGGCGGCCGUAACUAUAACGGUCCUAAGGUAGCGAAAUUCCUUGUCGGGUAAGUUCCGACCUGCACGAAUGGCGUAAUGAUGGCCAGGCUGUCUCCACCCGAGACUCAGUGAAAUUGAACUCGCUGUGAAGAUGCAGUGUACCCGCGGCAAGACGGAAAGACCCCGUGAACCUUUACUAUAGCUUGACACUGAACAUUGAGCCUUGAUGUGUAGGAUAGGUGGGAGGCUUUGAAGUGUGGACGCCAGUCUGCAUGGAGCCGACCUUGAAAUACCACCCUUUAAUGUUUGAUGUUCUAACGUGGACCCGUAAUCCGGGUUGCGGACAGUGUCUGGUGGGUAGUUUGACUGGGGCGGUCUCCUCCUAAAGAGUAACGGAGGAGCACGAAGGUUGGCUAAUCCUGGUCGGACAUCAGGAGGUUAGUGCAAUGGCAUAAGCCAGCUUGACUGCGAGCGUGACGGCGCGAGCAGGUGCGAAAGCAGGUCAUAGUGAUCCGGUGGUUCUGAAUGGAAGGGCCAUCGCUCAACGGAUAAAAGGUACUCCGGGGAUAACAGGCUGAUACCGCCCAAGAGUUCAUAUCGACGGCGGUGUUUGGCACCUCGAUGUCGGCUCAUCACAUCCUGGGGCUGAAGUAGGUCCCAAGGGUAUGGCUGUUCGCCAUUUAAAGUGGUACGCGAGCUGGGUUUAGAACGUCGUGAGACAGUUCGGUCCCUAUCUGCCGUGGGCGCUGGAGAACUGAGGGGGGCUGCUCCUAGUACGAGAGGACCGGAGUGGACGCAUCACUGGUGUUCGGGUUGUCAUGCCAAUGGCACUGCCCGGUAGCUAAAUGCGGAAGAGAUAAGUGCUGAAAGCAUCUAAGCACGAAACUUGCCCCGAGAUGAGUUCUCCCUGAGACUUAGAGUCUCCUGAAGGAACGUUGAAGACGACGACGUUGAUAGGCCGGGUGUGUAAGCGCAGCGAUGCGUUGAGCUAACCGGUACUAAUGAACCGUGAGGCUUAACCUUACAACGCCGAAG
RNAcentral lists this ribosomal RNA (2849 nucleotides) under Salmonella enterica subsp. enterica serovar Typhimurium. RNAcentral's name for it is "partial 23S ribosomal RNA". It matches the Rfam family "Bacterial large subunit ribosomal RNA". Lineage: Bacteria; Pseudomonadati; Pseudomonadota; Gammaproteobacteria; Enterobacterales; Enterobacteriaceae. The record is from RNAcentral.